This 554-nucleotide ribosomal RNA is filed under the name Candida tropicalis. RNAcentral's name for it is "eukaryotic LSU rRNA". It matches the Rfam family "Eukaryotic large subunit ribosomal RNA", at positions 88 to 656 of the family's 3401-position model. The record is from RNAcentral. Lineage: Eukaryota; Fungi; Ascomycota; Pichiomycetes; Serinales; Debaryomycetaceae.
GGCGAAGUGAAGCGGCAAAAGCUCAAAUUUGAAAUCUGGCUCUUUCAGAAGUCCGAGUUGUAAUUUGAAGAAGGUAUCUUUGGGUCUGGCUCUUGUCUAUGUUUCUUGGAACAGAACGUCACAGAGGGUGAGAAUCCCGUGCGAUGAGAUGAUCCAGGCCUAUGUAAAGUUCCUUCGAAGAGUCGAGUUGUUUGGGAAUGCAGCUCUAAGUGGGUGGUAAAUUCCAUCUAAAGCUAAAUAUUGGCGAGAGACCGAUAGCGAACAAGUACAGUGAUGGAAAGAUGAAAAGAACUUUGAAAAGAGAGUGAAAAAGUACGUGAAAUUGUUGAAAGGGAAGGGCUUGAGAUCAGACUUGGUAUUUUGUAUGUUACUUCUUCGGGGGUGGCCUCUACAGUUUAUCGGGCCAGCAUCAGUUUGGGCGGUAGGAGAAUUGCGUUGGAAUGUGGCACGGCUUCGGUUGUGUGUUAUAGCCUUCGUCGAUACUGCCAGCCUAGACUGAGGACUGCGGUUUAUACCUAGGAUGUUGGCAUAAUGAUCUUAAGUCGCCCGUCUUG